Molecule: unclassified non-coding RNA, 206 nt
Filed under: Hevea brasiliensis (rubber tree)
Lineage: Eukaryota; Viridiplantae; Streptophyta; Magnoliopsida; Malpighiales; Euphorbiaceae
Source: RNAcentral
AGAGAAGUUGAAAAAGUGAAUUUCUAUUUAGAGAAAGAGUGUAUGUUUGAUGAGAAAUUAAGAGAAAGGGAGAGAAAAGGGAUGAGAGAUAGAGAACAAAAGAGGGAGAAUUUGUGAGAAAUUUCUGGAGUUUUUCCAUUAAUUGAAUUCAAAACCGAAAGAGCACAGAUGGAACAUCUCAUUUUAUACAGUGGAUAAGCUACAUA